UGGGGAAUUUUGGACAAUGGGGGCAACCCUGAUCCAGCCAUGCCGCGUGCGGGAAGAAGGCCUUCGGGUUGUAAACCGCUUUUAUUCGGGAAGAAGGAGUAGGGGCUAAUACCCUCUAUGACGGACGGUACUGGAUGAAUAAGCACCGGCUAACUACGUGCCAGCAGCCGCGGUAAUACGUAGGGUGCGAGCGUUAAUCGGAAUUACUGGGCGUAAAGCGUGCGCAGGCGGUUCUGAAAGUCAGCUGUGAAAGCCCCGGGCUUAACCUGGGAACUGCGGUUGAAACUACAGGACUAGAAUCUGGCAGAGGGGGGUGGAAUUCCACGUGUAGCAGUGAAAUGCGUAGAGAUGUGGAGGAACACCGAUGGCGAAGGCAGCCCCCUGGGCUGAGAUUGACGCUCAGGCACGAAAGCGUGGGGAGCAAACAG
Molecule: ribosomal RNA, 428 nt
Filed under: uncultured bacterium
Lineage: Bacteria
Description: bacterial SSU rRNA
Rfam family: Bacterial small subunit ribosomal RNA
Source: RNAcentral